Molecule: long non-coding RNA, 1123 nt
Filed under: Canis lupus familiaris (dog)
Lineage: Eukaryota; Metazoa; Chordata; Mammalia; Carnivora; Canidae
Description: lncRNA (ENSCAFG00845010166.1)
Source: RNAcentral
CCUGUGCCUUAAGGCCGGUGGGGUCAGCCCCGUCCCCUGCGCGGCUGCCAGGCCUUGGCUCUCCUUCCCACUCCGGAUGCUGUGAUGCUCGGCUGGGACGCAGGCACACGUAACUCCUGAGCAGAGGGGACAGCACUGACCGCGGUGGAGGGGAAGGGGUCAACCGGGCCCCAGUGGCGGAGCAGGGGACGCCAGCGGCGUGCGUGGUGGUCAAACCGAGGGUAAGGUGGGGCGCCCGCCCCCCCCCCCCCCCCCCCCCCCCCCCAGGAUGCGGACUGCAUGCUCACCUCUGAGUUCUCAGGACCUGCUGGGUAGAGUCGCGGUCGGCCCGCCCUGGGGCAGCCUCUUUCUCUCUCCAAACCUCAGUUUCCUCAUCUGUAAAAUGGGACUCGCGACAGCAUGCCCCGUCCAGGACUGCGGAGCUCUCAUCAGGGAGAUUAAUUAAUGCACAGCCCUAGCUAGGAGGCAUCUGACAUCGCACCGUCUCUCGCAACAAAGCUGCAAAGAAAAACGUCACUGGACCCAUUUCACAGAUGGGGAAAUUAAGACCCAAGGAAGGAAAGUGGUUGGUCCGAGCAAACCCAGGCAGACACGAAAGAGGUUUCUGGUGGUCGUGAAAGGUCUCAUUCCUCAGAAGGCGGCAUGGGGGGCAACGAUGGAGCCACACGGUUGCAGAGGAUGGAAUCACCUGGCAACCCAAUGGCAAGAUAGCGUGCGGCCCAGUCGGGGAACGGGUCCAGAGCGGAAAGUCCAACCCGUGCAGACAAGAGCACUGUGGUCAAGGGAUCACGCCAUCCCCCCAGUGACGGCAGCACCUGCCACUUGCUCUAACCAAUAGCGUAUGGCAAGGGCGAUGGUGUCAACUCCCAUGGUUGGGUUACUUUUCUCCCUCUUGUGUUUUUUUCUUCAAUUUAUGCAUGUAACGUAAAAUAUGUGUAAUACUGUGCACGUAACGUAAACUCUAUCAUUUGAACCAUUUUCAGGCACACAGCGUAAUGGCACCAAGCGCAUUCAUACAAUCUAUAACAUAUGCCUUUGACGCUGUAAUUUUUUCACCUAAGUGCCGUUUUAGCUGCAGCUCAUACAUUCUGAUGUGUUGUGUUUUCAGUUUCGUUGAAUUAGA